UACAGAGGUCUCAAGCGUUGUUCGGAUUCAUUGGGCGUAAAGGGUGCGUAGGUGGCGCCAUAAGUCAGGUGUGAAAUCUCGGGGCUUAACUCCGAAACUGCAUUUGAUACUGUGGUGCUUGAGGACUGGAGAGGAGACUGGAAUUUACGGUGUAGCAGUGAAAUGCGUAGAGAUCGUAAGGAAGACCGGUGGCGAAGGCGGCAUCCUGGACCAAUUCUGACGCUGAGUGAGCGAAAGCCAGGGGAGCAAACGGG
This 254-nucleotide ribosomal RNA is filed under the name uncultured bacterium. RNAcentral's name for it is "partial 16S ribosomal RNA". It matches the Rfam family "Bacterial small subunit ribosomal RNA", at positions 524 to 776 of the family's 1533-position model. The record is from RNAcentral.